GAUGAACGCUGGCGGCGUGCUUAACACAUGCAAGUCGAACGGUGAAGGCGGAGCUUGCUCUGUUGGACCAUUGCCGAACGCGGGAGUAACACGUGAGCAAACCGCCCCUGACUCUGGGGGAAGCGCUGGAAACGCCGGCUAAUACUGCAGACGAGCUGCGAAGCCACCUUCAUCAGCAGUAAAGAAUGUUGGUCAGGUAUGAUCUCGCGGGCUAUCAGCUUGUUUGUGAGGUAAUGGCUCACCAAGCCGUCGACGGGUAGCCGGCCUGAGAGGGUGACCGGCCACCCUGGGACUGAGGGACGGCCCAGACUGCUACGGGAGGCAGCAGUGGGGAAUAUUGCACAAUGGGCGAAAGCCUGAUGAAGAAAGGCUGCGUGAGGGAAGACGGCCUUCGGGUGGUAAACCAAUUUUAGCAGGGACGAAGCGAAAGUGACGGUACCUGAAGAAAAAGCCCCGGCUAACUACGUG
Molecule: ribosomal RNA, 468 nt
Filed under: uncultured bacterium
Lineage: Bacteria
Description: partial 16S ribosomal RNA
Rfam family: Bacterial small subunit ribosomal RNA
Source: RNAcentral